UGAGAUGUGGCUCAAGUAGUAGCGUGCUCGCCUGGCAUGUGUGAGGCACUGGGUUCAAUCCUCAGCACCACAU
Molecule: transfer RNA, 73 nt
Filed under: Marmota monax (woodchuck)
Lineage: Eukaryota; Metazoa; Chordata; Mammalia; Rodentia; Sciuridae
Description: tRNA.Ala
Source: RNAcentral